This 425-nucleotide ribosomal RNA is filed under the name uncultured bacterium. RNAcentral's name for it is "partial 16S ribosomal RNA". It matches the Rfam family "Bacterial small subunit ribosomal RNA", at positions 354 to 796 of the family's 1533-position model. The record is from RNAcentral.
GUGGGGAAUAUUGGACAAUGGGCGCAAGCCUGAUCCAGCCAUGCCGCGUGAGUGAUGAAGGCCUUAGGGUUGUAAAGCUCUUUCAGUGGGGACGAUAAUGACGGUACCCACAGAAGAAGCCCCGGCUAACUUCGUGCCAGCAGCCGCGGUAAUACGAAGGGGGCUAGCGUUGUUCGGAAUUACUGGGCGUAAAGCGCACGUAGGCGGAUUGACAAGUCAGGGGUGAAAUCCCGGGGCUCAACCUCGGAACUGCCUUUGAUACUGUCAGUCUAGAGUCCGGAAGAGGUGGGUGGAAUUCCUAGUGUAGAGGUGAAAUUCGCAGAUAUUAGGAAGAACACCGGUGGCGAAGGCGGCCCACUGGUCCGGAACUGACGCUGAGGUGCGAAAGCGUGGGGAGCAAACAGGAUUAGAAACCCCAGUAGUCC